This 397-nucleotide ribosomal RNA is filed under the name uncultured bacterium. Its description in RNAcentral is "partial 16S ribosomal RNA". It matches the Rfam family "Bacterial small subunit ribosomal RNA", at positions 523 to 918 of the family's 1533-position model. The record is from RNAcentral.
AUACGUAGGUGGCAAGCGUUGUCCGGAAUUAUUGGGCGUAAAGCGCGCGCAGGUGGUUCCUUAAGUCUGAUGUGAAAGCCCCCGGCUCAACCGGGGAGGGUCAUUGGAAACUGGGGAACUUGAGUGCAGAAGAGGAUAGUGGAAUUCCAAGUGUAGCGGUGAAAUGCGUAGAGAUUUGGAGGAACACCAGUGGCGAAGGCGACUGUCUGGUUUGUAACUGACACUGAGGCGCGAAAGCGUGGGGAGCAAACAGGAUUAGAUACCCUGGUAGUCCACGCCGUAAACGAUGAGUGCUAAGUGUUGGGGGGUUUCCGCCCCUCAGUGCUGCAGCUAACGCAUUAAGCACUCCGCCUGGGGAGUACGGUCGCAAGACUGAAACUCAAAGGAAUUGACGGGG